This 267-nucleotide unclassified non-coding RNA is filed under the name Hevea brasiliensis (rubber tree). The record is from RNAcentral. Lineage: Eukaryota; Viridiplantae; Streptophyta; Magnoliopsida; Malpighiales; Euphorbiaceae.
GUUUUCCCCAUACCAUCACCCAAAAACACCAAAUUCCUCUUCUCCAAUGGCACCCGAACUAUCUCAUUAUACAAUCCAGCUUUGAUCCAUAUCACGAACCGCUUAACUACUCCAUUUUCGGGGGCCGAAUUCACUGCCUGCUGCACCGUCUCAUAAUCACAACCACCAGCGGCCGCCUUGCACACUGUCACAUCUGGUUUCAGUCCUCUAGGUACACCAUCGUUGAAUUCCUUCACAGUAAACCCACCACCAGCACCUAAUUCCCAG